Molecule: signal recognition particle RNA, 264 nt
Filed under: Alkalibaculum bacchi
Lineage: Bacteria; Bacillati; Bacillota; Clostridia; Eubacteriales; Eubacteriaceae
Description: Bacterial large signal recognition particle RNA
Rfam family: Bacterial large signal recognition particle RNA
About the family: The signal recognition particle (SRP) is a universally conserved ribonucleoprotein involved in the co-translational targeting of proteins to membranes. Archaeal SRP consists of a 7S RNA and homologues of the eukaryotic SRP19 and SRP54 proteins.
Source: Rfam by way of RNAcentral
UCGUGCUAGACGGGGAGUUAGCGGUGCCCUGUACCUGCAAUCCGCUAUAGCAGGGUUGAAUUCCUGACCGAGGGUAUAAUCUUUGGGGUCUGACCUUGGCAAGUGGUGUUGAGAAUCGGGCCCUGUGCAAUAGACGCUUGUGAACCCCGUCAGGUCCGGAAGGAAGCAGCGGUAAGCAAGCUAAUCUAUGUGCCUCAGGUCUACCUGAUUUGAGCCAACUACCAAGGUAACGCUCGAAGAUUAUAUUCGACGAAAGGUGCACGA